UGGGGAAUAUUGCACAAUGGGCGAAAGCCUGAUGCAGCAACGCCGCGUGAGGGACGACGGCCUUCGGGUUGUAAACCUCUUUUAGCAAGGAAGAAGCGAAAGUGACGGUACUUGCAGAAAAAGCGCCGGCUAACUACGUGCCAGCAGCCGCGGUAAUACGUAGGGCGCAAGCGUUAUCCGGAAUUAUUGGGCGUAAAGAGCUCGUAGGCGGUUUGUCGCGUCUGCUGUGAAAACCCGAGGCUCAACCUCGGGCCUGCAGUGGGUACGGGCAGACUAGAGUGCGGUAGGGGAGAUUGGAACUCCUGGUGUAGCGGUGGAAUGCGCAGAUAUCAGGAAGAACACCGAUGGCGAAGGCAGAUCUCUGGGCCGUAACUGACGCUGAGGAGCGAAAGGGUGGGGAGCAAACAGGCUUAGAUACCCUGGUAGUCCACCCGUAAACGUUGGGAACUAGUUGUGGGGUCCAUUCCACGGAUUCCGUGGACGCAGCUAACGCAUUAAGUU
Molecule: ribosomal RNA, 501 nt
Filed under: uncultured bacterium
Lineage: Bacteria
Description: partial 16S ribosomal RNA
Rfam family: Bacterial small subunit ribosomal RNA
Source: RNAcentral